This 253-nucleotide ribosomal RNA is filed under the name uncultured bacterium. RNAcentral describes it as "partial 16S ribosomal RNA". It matches the Rfam family "Bacterial small subunit ribosomal RNA", at positions 524 to 776 of the family's 1533-position model. The record is from RNAcentral.
GACGGAGGAUGCAAGCGUUAUCCGGAAUUAUUGGGCGUAAAGCGUCCGCAGGUGGUUUUUCAAGUCUGCUUUCAAAGCGCGAGGCUCAACCUUGUAUAGGGAGUGGAAACUGAAAGACUAGAGUUCGGUAGGGGUAGAGGGAAUUCCAGGUGUAGCGGUGAAAUGCGUAGAUAUCUGGAAGAACACCAGUGGCGAAAGCGCUCUACUGGGCCUGAACUGACACUGAGGGACGAAAGCUAGGGGAGCGAAAGGG